GAUCAUGGCUCAGGAUGAACGCUAGCUACAGGCUUAACACAUGCAAGUCGAGGGGCAGCAUGGUCUUAGCUUGCUAAGGCCGAUGGCGACCGGCGCACGGGUGAGUAACACGUAUCCAACCUGCCGUCUACUCUUGGACAGCCUUCUGAAAGGAAGAUUAAUACAAGAUGGCAUCAUGAGUCCGCAUGUUCACAUGAUUAAAGUAUUCCGUUACGGACGAAUGGG
This 225-nucleotide ribosomal RNA is filed under the name uncultured bacterium. RNAcentral describes it as "partial 16S ribosomal RNA". It matches the Rfam family "Bacterial small subunit ribosomal RNA", at positions 15 to 230 of the family's 1533-position model. The record is from RNAcentral.